UGUGAACAAUAUAAUAGUUAUACACGACUUUAUCGUCGUUGCGCUAAAGGCGUGCAAAACUUUUAUUAAAACUAGAGUUUAUUCCUUUCACAAAGCCCAUGAAGAUUUUGCUCCUCUAAACGAGGUCCUAGAAGGAUCUUAAGAGAUAGAUAGAUAAAGAAGAAAUCAGAGUACGUGAUGGGCACAAUGGAUCCACUGGCUGAGGUGCGAAAGAUCCAAGCUGUAUGUCCUGAUGUGAAAGUAAUCGUAAAAGCAUAUGACGCAGCAGGGGAGUUAUAAGUUUACGGUGUGUCUUGGUUUGUCUGUGAGCUUAUUGUUGCCAAACGAAUGGAACCAUGCCAGCGCAACACUGUGGGAAGUCUGUUCAUUGUGGGUCUCUUGCUGUAUGCUGUUUCAAAUGAUGCCAGCCGAAUUCCACAUCUCAUGAACUGGAUGUAUGGCGUUCCACCACAGCGGUUUUUCUGCAAGUAUCUUUCGCGUACAACCAAAUUGUUAAAUGAGCUGUGUUUGAAAUUGAGUUUCAUGUUGAUACCUACUAUUACCACCAAAUAUGGCGUACCUACAUCUUCCAAAAAAGUCUGCGACACUCCUGUUAUUCCUUUAGUGUCGCAAGAAAUAAGGGCAACGGUGAUCACCUACCAACAAGUUACCCGUACGCUGGGUUGUCCUCCUAUUCCAUAAAAAGGCGAUUUGAUGCGGGAUUUUCUUUCUAAAAGCUGAUGUGUAAAUAAUAAUAAUGACUUUAUUUCCAAAUAUUACAUUAAAUAAUAGUAUUACAAGUUAAAAA
This is a long non-coding RNA of Leptidea sinapis, 787 nucleotides long. RefSeq lists it as uncharacterized. The record is from RefSeq and is a predicted model, not a curated record. Lineage: Eukaryota; Metazoa; Arthropoda; Insecta; Lepidoptera; Pieridae. The transcript has 2 exons.